Long non-coding RNA from Ipomoea nil (Japanese morning glory), 461 nucleotides. RefSeq lists it as uncharacterized. The transcript has 3 exons. Lineage: Eukaryota; Viridiplantae; Streptophyta; Magnoliopsida; Solanales; Convolvulaceae. The record is from RefSeq and is a predicted model, not a curated record.
AUUUUGGAGGGGAAGGGAAAGGAUUGUUAAGGUGUUUGUGAUGUUUCUUGGUGAUCUUGAAGGCCAUGAUGCAAGCUGAAUCUACUCUCUAUGUAAUUGUUUCAGGAAUCAGGAAUCAGGACAUUAGGCUAGUCUAAUUCUAGAACUUUGUAGGUGAGUUGGCGAGCCCACCAAAUUCCAUUGCGGAUUCCGGUAGCCUUCCUCUUUUGUGCAUGAAGAAAUUUUGGGUAAACGCUAGUUGCUAUCAGGUUAUACACAUCCAUCGUGAGAAAAAUGAUGCCCGAUGCCUUAACUAAAUUCGCUGCUACACAACCCAGAGGAAUACACCUUCUGGAUCAACUUCCGGAGUUUAUUGAGCCUUUGCUAGCUAAUGAUGUAAAUGGUUGGCCUAGAUGGCGCCAAACUGUAUUACUUUGAUGUGUUUUGGGUGUUCCCCUUCCAUUGAGAAUUUAAAAAAAAAU